This 253-nucleotide ribosomal RNA is filed under the name uncultured bacterium. Its description in RNAcentral is "partial 16S ribosomal RNA". It matches the Rfam family "Bacterial small subunit ribosomal RNA", at positions 524 to 776 of the family's 1533-position model. The record is from RNAcentral.
UACGGAGGGGGCAAGCGUUGUUCGGAUUUACUGGGCGUAAAGGGCGCGUAGGCGGCAAUUCAAGUCAGCUGUGAAAUCUCCGGGCUUAACUCGGAACGGUCAGCUGAUACUGCUUUGCUAGAGUGCAGAAGGGGCAAUCGGAAUUCUUGGUGUAGCGGUGAAAUGCGUAGAUAUCAAGAGGAACACCUGAGGUGAAGACGGGUUGCUGGGCUGACACUGACGCUGAGGCGCGAAAGCUAGGGUAGCAAACGGG